GCUAUCGGGGUUCGAUUAAGCCAUGCGAGUCGAGAGGUGCAAGACCUCGGCGCACUGCUCAGUAACACGUGGAUAACCUACCCUCAGGAGGGGGAUAACCCCGGGAAACUGGGGAUAAUACCCCAUAGAUCAGGGACGCUGGAAUGCCCCCUGAUUCAAAGGUCCGCCGCCUGAGGAUGGGUCUGCGGCCGAUUAGGUUGUUGUUGGGGUAACGGCCCAACAAGCCAUUGAUCGGUACGGGUUGUGAGAGCAAGAGCCCGGAGAUGGAUUCUGAGACACGAAUCCAGGCCCUACGGGGCGCAGCAGGCGCGAAAACUUUACAAUGCGAGAAAUCGUGAUAAGGGAACCCCGAGUGCCCGUAAAUUCGGGCUGUCCGCCAGUGUAAAUAACUGGUGAAGAAAGGGCCGGGCAAGACCGGUGCCAGCCGCCGCGGUAAUACCGGCGGCUCGAGUGGUGGCCACUAUUACUGGGCUUAAAGCGUCCGUAGCUGGAUUGUUAAGUCUCUUGGGAAAUCCACCGGCUCAACCGAUGGGCGUUCAGGAGAAACUGGUAAUCUAGGGACCGGGAGAGGUGAGAGGUACUCCAGGGGUAGGAGUGAAAUCCUGUAAUCCUUGGGGGACCACCUGUGGCGAAGGCGUCUCACUAGAACGGCUCCGACAGUGAGGGACGAAAGCUGGGGGAGCAAACCGGAUU
RNAcentral lists this ribosomal RNA (693 nucleotides) under uncultured archaeon. RNAcentral describes it as "bacterial SSU rRNA". It matches the Rfam family "Archaeal small subunit ribosomal RNA", at positions 29 to 730 of the family's 1478-position model. The record is from RNAcentral.